This 449-nucleotide ribosomal RNA is filed under the name uncultured bacterium. RNAcentral's name for it is "partial 16S ribosomal RNA". It matches the Rfam family "Bacterial small subunit ribosomal RNA", at positions 29 to 523 of the family's 1533-position model. The record is from RNAcentral.
AACGAACGCUGGCGGCAGGCCCUACACAUGCAAGUCGAACGGACCCUUCGGGGUUAGUGGCGCACGGGUGAGUAACGCGUGGGAACGUGCCCUUAGGUACGGAACAACAGUUGGAAACGACUGCUAAUACCGUAUGAUGACGUAAGUCCAAAGAUUUAUCGCCUAAGGAUCGGCCCGCGUUAGAUUAGAUAGUUGGUGAGGUAAUGGCUCACCAAGUCUACGAUCUAUAGCUGGUCUCAGAGGAUGAUCAGCCACACUGGAACUGAGACACGGUCCAGACUCCUACGGGAGGCAGCAGUGAGGAAUAUUGGACAAUGGGCGAAAGCCUGAUCCAGCCAUGCCGCGUGAAUGAUGAAGGCCUUAGGGUUGUAAAGUUCUUUUAGUAGUGAAGAUGAUGACGGUAACUACAGAAAAAGCUCCGGCUAACUUCGUGCCAGCAGCCGCCGUAA